AACGCACAUUGCACCCGGUGGUAAUCCGCCGGGUAUGCCUGUCUGAGCGUCAUUUUCUACCCUCAAGCCCCGCUUGGUGUUGGUGGUCUGCCGCGCAACGCAGCCGCUGAAAUUCAACGGCGACAGCUUCUGUUCUCCUGUGUAGUACAUACUCUCGCAGCGGGCAACGGCAAGCCGGUCAGCCUUGUUACCUUCUCAUCAGUAGUUGACCUCAGAUCAGGUAGGAAUACCCGCUGAACUUAA
This 243-nucleotide unclassified non-coding RNA is filed under the name uncultured Ascomycota. RNAcentral describes it as "sequence contains 5.8S rRNA gene, ITS2, 28S rRNA gene". The stretch from base 1 to 52 matches the Rfam family "5.8S ribosomal RNA", at positions 103 to 154 of the family's 154-position model. The record is from RNAcentral. Lineage: Eukaryota; Fungi; Ascomycota.